CUGGCUCAGGAUGAACGCUGGCGGUAUGCUUAACACAUGCAAGUCGAACGAACGUUUUCGGACGUUAGUGGCGGACGGGUGAGUAACGCGUGAGAAUCUACCUUCAGGUUGGGGAUAACAGACGGAAACGACUGCUAAUACCCAAUAUACCGAGAGGAGAAAGGCUAGCUGCCUGAAGAUGAGCUCGCGUCCGAUUAGCUAGUUGGUGAGGUAAGGGCUUACCAAGGCGAUGAUCGGUAGCUGGUCUGAGAGGAUGAUCAGCCACACUGGGACUGAGACACGGCCCAGACUCCUACGGGAGGCAGCAGUGAGGAAUAUUGGUCAAUGGGCGAAAGCCUGAACCAGCGACGCCGCGUGGGUGAAGAAGGGUCUUCGGGAUCGUAAAGCCCUUUUCUGUGUGACGAGGGAAGGGACGGGUAGCACAGGGAAUAAGUCUCGGGCUAACUACGUGCCAGCAGCCG
Molecule: ribosomal RNA, 461 nt
Filed under: uncultured Microcoleus sp.
Lineage: Bacteria; Bacillati; Cyanobacteriota; Cyanophyceae; Oscillatoriales; Microcoleaceae
Description: bacterial SSU rRNA
Rfam family: Bacterial small subunit ribosomal RNA
Source: RNAcentral